GUGUGGUUGUUGCUGGCCCUCUCGGGGGCAUGUGCACACCCACCAUCCUCAUCUCUCCACCUGUGCACCNCUUGUAGACCUGGAUUGACUUUCCGAGGCAACUCGGUCGGGAAGAUUGCUGCGCUCUGUGAGCCAGCUUUCUUUGCAUGUCCAGGCCUAUGUUUUUCAUAUACCCCUAUAGAAUGUAACAGAAUGUAUCAUUGGGCCUUGUGCCUAUAAACCUUAUACAACUUUCAGCAACGGAUCUCUUGGCUCUCGCAUCGAUGAAGAACGCAGCGAAAUGCGAUAAGUAAUGUGAAUUGCAGAAUUCAGUGAAUCAUCGAAUCUUUGAACGCACCUUGCGCUCCUUGGUAUUCCGAGGAGCAUGCCUGUUUGAGUGUCAUUAAAUUCUCAACCUUAUUAACUUUUGUUGAUAAUGGAUUGGAUUGUGGGGGUUUCUUUUGCUGGCUUCUUCACAGAGAUCAGCUCCCCUUAAAUGCAUUAGCUGGUGCCCCGCGUGGACCAUCUAUUGGUGUGAUAAUUAUCUACGCCGUGGAUGUCUGCAAUCAUAUGGGUUUCGCACUGCUUCUAACCGUCUGUUCAUUCGGACAAUACAUGACAAUUUGACCUCAAAUCAGGUAGGACUACCCGCUGAACUUAAGCAUAUCAAUAAGCGGAGGAAAAGAAACUAACAAGGAUUCCCCUAGUAACUGCGAGUGAAGCGGGAAAGCUCAAAUUUAAAAUCUGGCGGUCUCCGGCCGUCCGAGUUGUAAUCUAGAGAAGUGUUAUCCGCGCUGGACCGUGUAC
RNAcentral lists this ribosomal RNA (786 nucleotides) under uncultured Alnicola. RNAcentral's name for it is "eukaryotic LSU rRNA". The stretch from base 229 to 382 matches the Rfam family "5.8S ribosomal RNA". Lineage: Eukaryota; Fungi; Basidiomycota; Agaricomycetes; Agaricales; Cortinariaceae. The record is from RNAcentral.